GACGAACGCUGGCGGCGUGCUUAACACAUGCAAGUCGAACGGAAAGGCCCUGCUUUCAUGGUUCUCGAGUGGCGAACGGGUGAGUAACACGUGGGUGAUCUGCCCCUUACUUUGUUAUAAUCCUUGGCAACUGGUUCUAAUACUUGAUAUGACCAUUCUGUAGGUGGUGUGGUGGUAAGUUUAGUUUCGGUAAGGUAUGAGCUCGCGGACUAUCAGCUUGUUGGUGGGGUAUUGGGCUACUAAGGCGUCGACGGGUAGCCGGCCUGAGAGGGUGGACGGCGACAUUGGGAAGACGAUACGGCGCAGAAGCCUACGGGAGGCAGCAGAGGGGAAGAUUGCACAAUGGGAGCAAGCCUGAUGCAGCGACGGAGCGUGGGGGAUGACGGACUUCGGGUUGUAAACUACUAUGAGCCAUGACGAAGCGCUUGUGGUGACGGUAGUGGUAGAAGAAGCACCGGCUAACUACGUG
This 469-nucleotide ribosomal RNA is filed under the name uncultured bacterium. Its description in RNAcentral is "partial 16S ribosomal RNA". It matches the Rfam family "Bacterial small subunit ribosomal RNA", at positions 28 to 507 of the family's 1533-position model. The record is from RNAcentral.